GAGUCGUGAAGACAUUGAUAUUGGCCAAGCCCUCACAAAAUUGAUUCAUCUUCUAGAAGCUGACAAGUAGGAGGUUAUAUGUCACCAAAAGAAAGACUAGUAACUACUUGAUCAAAUCCAACCCAUUUUAUAUUUCCUCCAAAUAUUCUCCAUUAAGAAUGUAAUUUGACAUAAAAAACAGGCCUGCUUAGAGAUAGAAUAUGAAAAUGAAAUGGAAAUAUAUGAGUAUUGCAAGAUGUUGGGUUUGUUUUUACUUUUUAAGUGCUCAAACCUGGAUUUCAUAACCUAUGCUUUGAAUUAGCAAUAGCUAUCAGAAUUAUUGCCAUAUAUUUUGCAUAAGUUUAACAGACAAGGCUUAAUUGGCUCACUGAACUGUGUCUUUGUGAGACUUUAAUUUUCCUGUAAGAACAGUAAAUGCCAACAAGAUAGACAUCCCUGUUCUUCUAAGCUUUGUUUAUAGUUCUAGGAAGUAAACAGGCAGUUAUUAUAUUAAAAAAAAAUUCCCUGUAUGCCAGCAACAUCUAAUUUUAAUAUGUAGGAGUUUUAGAGGAAAAGGGAUAGGGAUGUCAUAAAAAAGAACCCCAAAAUAUGCCUAAUACCUAGAACUUGAAGUCUGAUCUUGAUUCCCCUGUGGAUUAACAAACCACAUGUUUCUCAAUGUCACUGUCAUCUUGAUGUAUAGGAUAUUUGCCACUUAGUUUCUAAAAUGCUCUGAGAUCACAUUUUGGAGGCAUAUUUAUCUUGCAUACCCAUGGCAAGGAGAGCCAUUUGUCAAACUGGAUGUAAAAUAAAUUAAAUGGGAUUCUGCUGCCCAUACACAUUAAUGCCUCCCAAAGAGACCAGCGUGCUAACUUGGGCAAGACUUACAAAAGCUCAGUUGAAGUAUUAUCUCUUCUGUGGCCAACUUAAUUGCUCCCUCUGUGCUGGCCAUGUUUGCUGGUGGUUAUAGCUGUCUCCCCAAUAGGCUGAGAUCCUGAGGGCAGAGACUAUGUCUUAUUCAUCUUUGUAUCUCUGGUAACUUGCAUAGUGUUUUGUAAUCAGCAAGAAUUUGCUCAAAGACUGUAAAUACUCAUUUAAGGGUAGCCAACUGUUAGAUCUGAAUCCACCCCAACACUGAGUAUGCUCUAAAGUGUGCCACAGUUCAUAGCCACUUAUCUUUAGAGUCCUGAUAAAGAUAUUGAGGGACUAUGCAGUUUCUAUUUCUAUACCACAAACAUCUGCAGGAGGUGAUUCUACUAGCCUCACACUUCUCAGAGCCCUGGAAGGGUAAAGAUUAGAAAAACUGGGCCGGGUGCAGUGGCUCACGUCUGUAAUCCCAGCUGGGAGGCUGAGGUGGGCGGAUCAUGAGGUCAAGAGAUCGAGACUAUCCUGGCCAAUAUGGUGAAACCCCAUCUCUACCAAAAAUGCAAAAAUUAGCUGGGCAUGGUGGCAUACACCUAUAGUCAGGCUGAGGCAGGAGAAUCGCUUGAGAUUGCAGUGAGCCAAAAUCACGCCACAGCACUCCAGCCUGGUGACAGAGCAAGACUCUGUCUCAAAAAAGAAAAAAAGAAAAAGAAAAAGAAAAA
Long non-coding RNA from Macaca fascicularis (crab-eating macaque), 1565 nucleotides. Lineage: Eukaryota; Metazoa; Chordata; Mammalia; Primates; Cercopithecidae. The record is from Ensembl.